AAUGUGAACGUUACCAAACUGUUGCCUCGGCGGGAUCUCUGCCCCGGGUGCGUCGCAGCCCCGGACCAAGGCGCCCGCCGGAGGACCAACCAAAACUCUUUUUGUAUACCCCCUCGCGGGUUUUUUAUAAUCUGAGCCUUCUCGGCGCCUCUCGUAGGCGUUUCGAAAAUGAAUCAA
RNAcentral lists this ribosomal RNA (177 nucleotides) under Trichoderma harzianum. RNAcentral describes it as "partial 18S ribosomal RNA". Lineage: Eukaryota; Fungi; Ascomycota; Sordariomycetes; Hypocreales; Hypocreaceae. The record is from RNAcentral.